GGGGAUGUAGCUCAGGGGUAGAGCGCUUGCUUAGCAUUGUCUCGUACAACUUGCAUGAGGUCCCGGGUUCGAUUCCCUGCCUCUCCA
RNAcentral lists this transfer RNA (87 nucleotides) under Microbotryum lychnidis-dioicae p1A1 Lamole. RNAcentral's name for it is "tRNA-Ala for anticodon AGC". It matches the Rfam family "tRNA". From Rfam's summary of the family: Transfer RNA (tRNA) molecules are approximately 80 nucleotides in length. Lineage: Eukaryota; Fungi; Basidiomycota; Microbotryomycetes; Microbotryales; Microbotryaceae. The record is from Rfam by way of RNAcentral.